GACGAACGCUGGCGGCGUGCUUAACACAUGCAAGUCGAACGGAAAGGCCCUGCUUUGGUGGGGUGCUCGAGUGGCGAACGGGUGAGUAGCACGUGAGUAACCUGCCCUUGACUUUGGGAUAACUUCAGGAAACUGGGGCUAAUACCGGAUAGGAGCUCCUGCUGCAUGGUGGGGGUUGGAAAGUUUCGGCGGUUGGGGAUGGACUCGCGGCUUAUCAGCUUGUUGGUGGGGUAGUGGCUUACCAAGGCUUUGACGGGUAGCCGGCCUGAGAGGGUGACCGGCCACAUUGGGACUGAGAUACGGCCCAGACUCCUACGGGAGGCAGCAGUGGGGAAUAUUGCACAAUGGGCGGAAGCCUGAUGCAGCCACGCCGCGUGCGGGAUGACGGCCUUCGGGUUGUAAACCGCUUUCGCCUGUGACGAAGCGUGAGUGACGGUAAUGGGUAAAGAAGCACCGGCUAACUACGUG
RNAcentral lists this ribosomal RNA (468 nucleotides) under uncultured bacterium. Its description in RNAcentral is "partial 16S ribosomal RNA". It matches the Rfam family "Bacterial small subunit ribosomal RNA", at positions 28 to 507 of the family's 1533-position model. The record is from RNAcentral.